CGCACAUUGCGCCCGCCAGUAUUCUGGCGGGCAUGCCUGUUCGAGCGUCAUUACAACCCUCAGGCCCCCGGGCCUGGCGUUGGGGAUCGGCGGAGCCCUCUGUGGCACACGCCGUCCCCCAAAUACAGUGGCGGUCCCGCCGCAGCUUCCAAUGCGUAGUACCUAACGACGCAACUGGAGAGCGGCGCGGCCACGCCGUAAAACACCCAACUUUUAAACGUUGACCUCGAAUCAGGUAGGAAUACCCGCUGAACUUAA
RNAcentral lists this unclassified non-coding RNA (258 nucleotides) under Fusarium sp. Its description in RNAcentral is "partial contains 5.8S ribosomal RNA, internal transcribed spacer 2, and large subunit ribosomal RNA". Lineage: Eukaryota; Fungi; Ascomycota; Sordariomycetes; Hypocreales; Nectriaceae. The record is from RNAcentral.